Non-coding RNA from Saimiri boliviensis boliviensis (Bolivian squirrel monkey), 368 nucleotides. The record is from RefSeq and is a predicted model, not a curated record. NCBI's taxonomy places the organism in Eukaryota, Metazoa, Chordata, Mammalia, Primates, Cebidae.
AUGGCCGCUUAUCACCAAGAAGGGCAGGUGCAGCUGCCGCGAGCUGAUGCCAUUCGUUCACGUGUCACAGACACUUUCUCUCUCAUCGAGCAUUUGCAAGGAUUGAGCCAAGCUGUGCCGGGCACAGUAUCAAGGAGUUACUUGAUCCCUCUCGCCAGAAGAAACUUAUGUUGGGAGAUCAACAACAGCGAGUGCGCUUCUCAAUAAAGCCUCAACAUAUAGGACAGAUUUCACAAGCCCACAGGCUACUGGGGAAGCUUCAUGUGCGCUGCAGUCAGAGGCCACCUCUUUCUUUGUGGGCCGGAUGGGUCCUCGAGUGUAUCCUUCAUGUCACUUACUUUUAUACUGGCUGUUCAUCAUCUGCCUAA